Molecule: ribosomal RNA, 253 nt
Filed under: uncultured bacterium
Lineage: Bacteria
Description: partial 16S ribosomal RNA
Rfam family: Bacterial small subunit ribosomal RNA
Source: RNAcentral
UACGAAGGGGGCUAGCGUUGCUCGGAAUCACUGGGCGUAAAGCGCACGUAGGCGGAUUGCUAAGUCAGGGGUGAAAUCCUGGAGCUCAACUCCAGAACUGCCUUUGAUACUGGCGACCUUGAGUCCGGGAGAGGUGAGUGGAAUGCCGAGUGUAGAGGUGAAAUUCGUAGAUAUUCGCAAGAACACCAGUGGCGAAGGCGGCUCACUGGCCCGAUACUGACGCUGAGGCACGAAAGCGUGGGGAGCAAACAGG